GGGCACAGACCAGCCCAUAAGGGUGUCUGCAUGACUAAUAGUCAUUUCGGGCGCGGACCGUCCGUCGUCAACCUCGCCCUGUCAUCACGAAACGUGCAUAACCUAGACGACGAACCGCACUCUGCCGUGGCGUCCGCAUGAUUGUCAAUACUCAUAGCCGGGCACAAACCGGCCCAAAAGAGACUUUGAAGAAUUCACAUGGAGUUCAUCAUAGAUAGUCUAACACCCCCCAUGCUCACCAUACCACCGACAUGGCCAGCNUCAAAGCUUUUCUUGUCAUACCACAAGGAUGGCCGUCAAAUCUUUUCUUGUUACACCACAAAGACGACCGCCCGAUGUUCGGUCAGCG
This 349-nucleotide long non-coding RNA is filed under the name Vigna radiata. Its description in RNAcentral is "long non-coding RNA (VRAD_LNC016626)". Lineage: Eukaryota; Viridiplantae; Streptophyta; Magnoliopsida; Fabales; Fabaceae. The record is from RNAcentral.